This 253-nucleotide ribosomal RNA is filed under the name uncultured bacterium. Its description in RNAcentral is "partial 16S ribosomal RNA". It matches the Rfam family "Bacterial small subunit ribosomal RNA", at positions 524 to 776 of the family's 1533-position model. The record is from RNAcentral.
UAAGGGGGGGGCGGGCGUUAAUCGGAAUUACUGGGCGUAAAGCGCACGUAGGCGGCUUGGUAUGUCGGGUGUGAAAUCCCCGGGCUCAACCUGGGAACUGCAUCCGAAACUGCCUUGCUCGAGUAUGGGAGAGGGAAGCGGAAUUUCCGGUGUAGCGGUGAAAUGCGUAGACAUCGGAAGGAACAUCAGUGGCGAAGGCGGCUUCCUGGACCAAUACUGACGCUCAGGUGCGAAAGCGUGGGGAGCAAACAGG